CAAAGUGCAACGAAGAUCGCGAUGCAGCCCUACUAUUUCUGCGGUGUCAUUUGUGAUUGUGUUUUGUGGAAGUGAAUUUUAAAAAAAGGGCCGUUAAUAACGGAGUCGGUGACUCCCAACAUAGUCUUCCUAAUUUGGAACAUAUAAUAGAGCCAGCGGCAACCGCCCAGCUCGGCCGGAACACAGCUAGCCAAGGCUGAACCAUCAUCCCCUCCCCCGGAGCCAACUGACUGCAGCGAGGGAGUGUGCGGGGAAGAUAUCUAAAUCAUAACUGGCGCCCAACUUCAGUAGAGAAUCCACGACCCCAAAAUAUGAUCGCGGGAAUUUUAUUGAUAACGUUAACUAUGGUUAACGCUAGGAUUACGGAUUAUUCGCACGCUCAAUACAUCCCAAUCACGGACGGAAUUGCGUUGGUAUGGGAACAUAGAAAUUUGCUUAGACAUUCAAGUAACUUGUCCGAAUUUUCAAUUAUAGUAGAAGAAACUGCUAGGUUGUCCGAUUUAUUCCCACAGUCUCAUAUGAAAAAAUUGUUAGACGUCGACACCGAACAUGUUAGAAGUUUAUUGUCUGUUUUAAAAGUACAUCAUAGGAUGGCCAGGAGCCUAGACUUCCUAGGCACCGCACUCAAGGUAAUUGCAGGCACACCUGAUUCAGCCGAUUUCGAUAUGCUAAAAAUGUCUGAGGCACGCCUAAUUGAGUCAAAUAACCGUCAGGCUGUAAUAAAUACACAGACGCAGAACAAAAUUAAUGAAUUAACAGAGGCCGUUAACAAAAUUAUCAAGGCCAAACUAAAUAAUAUAGUUGACACUUCUCAUCUGUACGAGGUACUUUUGGCCAGAAAUAGAAUACUAAUAACCGAGAUUCAAAAUGUAAUGCUUACAGUCACACUUGCAAAGGCCAACAUUAUAAACCCAGCAAUUUUUAACCAGAAUGAUUUGAAGUCUGUAUCUGUAUACCCUAAAAUUAAAACAACU
Drosophila kikkawai is the source of this 974-nucleotide non-coding RNA. Lineage: Eukaryota; Metazoa; Arthropoda; Insecta; Diptera; Drosophilidae. The record is from RefSeq and is a predicted model, not a curated record.